AGUCACUGACAUUAGAUACCCCUGUAGUCCAGGGUGUAAACGCUGCAGACUUGGUGUUGGAGGCCCUUUGGGGGCAUUCAGUGCCGGAGAGAAGUUGUUAAGUCUGCUACUUGGGAGUACGUCCGCAAGGAUGAAACUUAAAGGAAUUGGCGGGGGAGCACCGCAACGGGAGGAGCGUGCGGUUUAAUUGGAUUCAACACCGUAAAACUCACCAGGGAAGACUGUUACAUGAAAGCCGAGAUGAAGACUCUGCUAGAUUUUCAG
This 264-nucleotide ribosomal RNA is filed under the name uncultured archaeon. RNAcentral describes it as "partial 16S ribosomal RNA". It matches the Rfam family "Archaeal small subunit ribosomal RNA", at positions 718 to 982 of the family's 1478-position model. The record is from RNAcentral.